Molecule: ribosomal RNA, 57 nt
Filed under: Camarotella costaricensis
Lineage: Eukaryota; Fungi; Ascomycota; Sordariomycetes; Phyllachorales; Phyllachoraceae
Description: partial 18S ribosomal RNA
Rfam family: Eukaryotic small subunit ribosomal RNA
Source: RNAcentral
UUCGGAAGUAAAAGUCGUAACAAGGUCUCCGUUGGUGAACCAGCGGAGGGAUCAUUA